This 819-nucleotide ribosomal RNA is filed under the name uncultured bacterium. RNAcentral describes it as "bacterial SSU rRNA". It matches the Rfam family "Bacterial small subunit ribosomal RNA", at positions 54 to 916 of the family's 1533-position model. The record is from RNAcentral.
CAUGCAAGUCGAACGGUGUAGUAAUACAUAGUGGCGGACGGGUGAGUAACGCGUGAGAAUCUGCCUUCUGGUCGGGGACAACCAUUGGAAACGAUGGCUAAUACCGGAUGAGCCUACGGGUAAAAGAUUUAUUGCCAGAAGAGGAGCUCGCGUCUGAUUAGCUAGUUGGUGGGGUAAAAGCUCACCAAGGCAUCGAUCAGUAGCUGGUCUGAGAGGAUGACCAGCCACACUGGGACUGAGACACGGCCCAGACUCCUACGGGAGGCAGCAGUGGGGAAUUUUCCGCAAUGGGCGAAAGCCUGACGGAGCAAGACCGCGUGAGGGAGGAAGGCUCUUGGGUUGUAAACCUCUUUUCUUGGGGAAGAAAAAAAUGACGGUACCCAAGGAAUCAGCAUCGGCUAACUCCGUGCCAGCAGCCGCGGUAAUACGGAGGAUGCAAGCGUUAUCCGGAAUUAUUGGGCGUAAAGCGUCCGCAGGUGGCACUUCAAGUCUGCUGUCAAAGGUCGGGGCUUAACCCCGGAAAGGCAGUGGAAACUGAAGCGCUAGAGUGUCGUAGGGGUAGAGGGAAUUCCCGGUGUAGCGGUGAAAUGCGUAGAGAUCGGGAAGAACAUCGGUGGCGAAAGCGCUCUACUGGACGACAACUGACACUCAGGGACGAAAGCUAGGGGAGCGAAUGGGAUUAGAUACCCCAGUAGUCCUAGCCGUAAACGAUGGAUACUAGGUGUGGCUUGUAUCGACCCGAGCCGUGCCGUAGCUAACGCGUUAAGUAUCCCGCCUGGGGAGUACGCGCGCAAGCGUGAAACUCAAAGGAAUUGACGG